RNAcentral lists this ribosomal RNA (485 nucleotides) under uncultured bacterium. RNAcentral's name for it is "partial 16S ribosomal RNA". It matches the Rfam family "Bacterial small subunit ribosomal RNA", at positions 30 to 506 of the family's 1533-position model. The record is from RNAcentral.
AUUGAACGCUGGCGGCAUGCCUUACACAUGCAAGUCGAACGGCAGCACGGGUGCUUGCACCUGGUGGCGAGUGGCGAACGGGUGAGUAAUACAUCGGAACAUGUCCUGUAGUGGGGGAUAGCCCGGCGAAAGCCGGAUUAAUACCGCAUACGAUCUACGGAUGAAAGCGGGGGACCUUCGGGCCUCGCGCUAUAGGGUUGGCCGAUGGCUGAUUAGCUAGUUGGUGGGGUAAAGGCCUACCAAGGCGACGAUCAGUAGCUGGUCUGAGAGGACGACCAGCCACACUGGGACUGAGACACGGCCCAGACUCCUACGGGAGGCAGCAGUGGGGAAUUUUGGACAAUGGGCGAAAGCCUGAUCCAGCAAUGCCGCGUGCGUGAAGAAGGCCUUCGGGUUGUAAAGCACUUUUGUCCGGAAAGAAAUCCUUGGCCCUAAUACGGUCGGGGGAUGACGGUACCGGAAGAAUAAGCACCGGCUAACUACGU